This 812-nucleotide ribosomal RNA is filed under the name Saccharomyces cerevisiae (brewer's yeast). RNAcentral describes it as "partial 18S ribosomal RNA". The stretch from base 363 to 516 matches the Rfam family "5.8S ribosomal RNA". Lineage: Eukaryota; Fungi; Ascomycota; Saccharomycetes; Saccharomycetales; Saccharomycetaceae. The record is from RNAcentral.
AAAAUUUUAAUAAUUUUGAAAUGGAUUUUUUUUGUUUUGGCAAGAGCAUGAGAGCUUUUACUGGGCAAGAAGACAAGAGAUGGAGAGUCCAGCCGGGCCUGCGCUUAAGUGCGCGGUCUUGCUAGGCUUGUAAGUUUCUUUCUUGCUAUUCCAAACGGUGAGAGAUUUCUGUGCUUUUGUUAUAGGACAAUUAAAACCGUUUCAAUACAACACACUGUGGAGUUUUCAUAUCUUUGCAACUUUUUCUUUGGGCAUUCGAGCAAUCGGGGCCCAGAGGUAACAAACACAAACAAUUUUAUUUAUUCAUUAAAUUUUUGUCAAAAAACAAGAAUUUUCGUAACUGGAAAUUUUAAAAUAUUAAAAACUUUCAACAACGGAUCUCUUGGUUCUCGCAUCGAUGAAGAACGCAGCGAAAUGCGAUACGUAAUGUGAAUUGCAGAAUUCCGUGAAUCAUCGAAUCUUUGAACGCACAUUGCGCCCCUUGGUAUUCCAGGGGGCAUGCCUGUUUGAGCGUCAUUUCCUUCUCAAACAUUCUGUUUGGUAGUGAGUGAUACUCUUUGGAGUUAACUUGAAAUUGCUGGCCUUUUCAUUGGAUGUUUUUUUUUUUCCAAAGAGAGGUUUCUCUGCGUGCUGGAGGUAUAAUGCAAUUACGGUCGUUUUAGGUUUUCCCAACUGCGGCUAAUCUUUUUUUAUACCGGAGCGUAUUGAACCGUUAUCGAAUAAGAAGAGAGCGUUCUAGGCGACCAAUGUUCUUAAAGUUUGACUUCAAUCAGGUAGAAGUACCCGCUGACUUAGCAUAUCAUAACGCGGAA